This 464-nucleotide ribosomal RNA is filed under the name uncultured Dialister sp. RNAcentral's name for it is "bacterial SSU rRNA". It matches the Rfam family "Bacterial small subunit ribosomal RNA", at positions 338 to 795 of the family's 1533-position model. Lineage: Bacteria; Bacillati; Bacillota; Negativicutes; Veillonellales; Veillonellaceae. The record is from RNAcentral.
CCUACGGGAGGCAGCAGUGGGGAAUCUUCCGCAAUGGACGAAAGUCUGACGGAGCAACGCCGCGUGAGUGAAGACGGCCUUCGGGUUGUAAAGCUCUGUGAUUCGGGACGAAAGGCCAUAUGUGAAUAAUAUAUGGAAAUGACGGUACCGAAAAAGCAAGCCACGGCUAACUACGUGCCAGCAGCCGCGGUAAUACGUAGGUGGCAAGCGUUGUCCGGAAUUAUUGGGCGUAAAGCGCGCGCAGGCGGUCUCUUAAGUCUAUCUUAGAAGUGCGGGGCUUAACCCCGUGAGGGGAUGGAAACUGGGAGACUGGAGUAUCGGAGAGGAAAGUGGAAUUCCUAGUGUAGCGGUGAAAUGCGUAGAUAUUAGGAAGAACACCGGUGGCGAAGGCGACUUUCUGGACGAAAACUGACGCUGAGGCGCGAAAGCGUGGGGAGCAAACAGGAUUAGAUACCCCUGUAGUC